Molecule: ribosomal RNA, 468 nt
Filed under: uncultured bacterium
Lineage: Bacteria
Description: partial 16S ribosomal RNA
Rfam family: Bacterial small subunit ribosomal RNA
Source: RNAcentral
GACGAACGCUGGCGGCGUGCUUAACACAUGCAAGUCGAACGGAAAGGCCCUGCUUUUGUGGGGUGCUUGAGUGGCGAACGGGUGAGUAACACGUGAGUAACCUGCACUUGACUUUGGGAUAACUUCAGGAAACUGGGGCUAAUACCGGAUAGGAGCUCCUGCUGCAUGGUGGGGGUUGGAAAGUUUCGGCGGUUGGGGAUGGACUCGCGGCUUAUCAGCUUGUUGGUGGGGUAGUGGCUUACCAAGGCUUUGACGGGUAGCCGGCCUGAGAGGUUGACCGGCCACAAUGGGACUGAGAUACGGCCCAGACUCCUACGGGCGGCAGCAGUGGGGAAUAUUGCACAAUGGGCGGAAGCCUGAUGCAGCAACGCCGCGUGCGGGAUGACGGCCUUCGGGUUGUAAACCGCUUUCGCCUGUGACGAAGCGUGAGUGACGGUAAUGGGUAAAGAAGCACCGGCUAACUACGUG